GGGGCUGAAAUGGCUUCGACAGGAGCCGUAUCGCUUGGGUUGCAUGCCAGCUGCACGCUGUAAAACUGCACAGAAAAUAAACGCAAACAAUACAAAUUACGCUCCAGCUUACGCAAAAGUCGCGUGAGUUUAACUUACUCUUAGGAGCUGGUCUUUCCGAAUGAUGCUAGCUCAUCGGUUUGAUCAUCAUCACGCUAGAUGCCUCUAUAAAACACCUUGUUUAUAGGGAAAGAUUUUGGUUGCUCGCUUAUAAUGCUUUGGGGAUUGAGCGUUUAAGUGAAAAGAUUUUUCAAUCCUAUCUAAGCAUGUAGAUGCUCUUGUUGGGUAUGGUUUUUGGACUGGGGUUCAAUUCCCCACAGCUCCACCA
This 367-nucleotide transfer-messenger RNA is filed under the name Helicobacteraceae. RNAcentral's name for it is "Helicobacter_J sp002272895 Standard tmRNA". It matches the Rfam family "transfer-messenger RNA". From Rfam's summary of the family: Bacterial tmRNA, also known as 10Sa RNA or SsrA, is named for its dual tRNA and mRNA-like properties. Its role is to liberate the mRNA from a stalled ribosome. The record is from RNAcentral. RNAcentral also lists the same sequence under 1 other name. Lineage: Bacteria; Pseudomonadati; Campylobacterota; Epsilonproteobacteria; Campylobacterales.